RNAcentral lists this ribosomal RNA (460 nucleotides) under uncultured bacterium. RNAcentral's name for it is "partial 16S ribosomal RNA". It matches the Rfam family "Bacterial small subunit ribosomal RNA", at positions 338 to 795 of the family's 1533-position model. The record is from RNAcentral.
CCUACGGGAGGCAGCAGUGAGGAAUAUUGGUCAAUGGACGAGAGUCUGAACCAGCCAAGUAGCGUGAAGGAUGACUGCCCUAUGGGUUGUAAACUUCUUUUAUAUGGGAAUAAAAUGUUCCACGUGUGGGAUUUUGUAUGUACCAUAUGAAUAAGGAUCGGCUAACUCCGUGCCAGCAGCCGCGGUAAUACGGAGGAUCCGAGCGUUAUCCGGAUUUAUUGGGUUUAAAGGGAGAGUAGGUGGAUUUUUAAGUCAGUUGUGAAAGUUUGCGGCUCAACCGUAAAAUUGCAGUUGAAACUGGCAGUCUUGAGUACAGUAGAGGUGGGCGGAAUUCGUGGUGUAGCGGUGAAAUGCUUAGAUAUCACGAAGAACUCCGAUUGCGAAGGCAGUUCACUGGACUGCAACUGACACUGAGGCUCGAAAGUGUGGGUAUCAAACAGGAUUAGAUACCCGUGUAGUC